GUGCUUGUUUAAGAAGCAUAUCUAUCAUAAUUGGAAUUGUCCAAAAUUAGCAUGACCCCUAUGCAAGGAUAACAUGCAAAUUUGUGAAUGUUUCUAUAUCGAA
This 103-nucleotide small nuclear RNA is filed under the name Peromyscus maniculatus bairdii (prairie deer mouse). Lineage: Eukaryota; Metazoa; Chordata; Mammalia; Rodentia; Cricetidae. The record is from RNAcentral.